CUAACUUUAGCAAAAACUUAAACCUGAAAAAAAAGAUUUUCUGAGCCUUGUACUGGUCAAAAUUGUUUUCAAUAAUCUUUUGAGCCAACAUGAAUCGACAAAUUGUCAGCGACAAUGGCUUUUUGGUUAUUUUAAACAAAUUUCAUCUGAAAUUUAGGGUUAUAAGUGGUUCAAAAAUCUUUUUUUUGUGAUUCAAGCUCUAUGCAUUUUUGCUAAUCCGAUUACAACAUGGUAAUUGAGAAGCAUAAGUCUCAUGCUUCUUCAAAAUAGAUUCACAGAAGUGUUCAGCAAUAUUCAUCUGUCCAAAUAUUAAACACUUACUAAUGGAUUCACCACGGGUUCUUUCAAUUCAAAGUUAUGUUGUGCAUGGUUAUGUCGGAAAUAAAAGUGCAACCUUCCCUUUACAGGUUCUGGGAUUUGAAGUUGAUGCUAUCAAUAGUGUUCAAUACACUAAUCACGUCCAUUACAAAGUAACAAAAGGACAAGAGCUUUUUGGAAAUGAUCUGGAUGACCUCUUCAAAGGAAUCAAUGGAAAUGAAUAUGUUGGCCAAUAUACUUAAUAAAAGGACAUGUACGAGUAUGUAUGUAAUGUAUGCGUCUUCGAUUCAAUUAUCCCAUCUGAACCAUCAUCAAUAAUUUUCCGUGUUUUUGGAAUGGCCCUUUUAGUCCUGAUUUUUUGAAAAAGUAUCUAAAGACACCUCUAGUUGGUUUCCUGGAUUUUCUGAAUUUCAUUUCUGACCAGAAAAAUUGGUUUUGCUAAGCUUCUAUUGGAUUUAUUCGAAAAAUUCACACACCCUGAGGGUUCACUUUCUCACACUUGAUUCACACAAUUAAAUUUUCAAUGAUCAAUUCAGGAGGUGCAAUCAUCUUCUGAGGAUCCAAAUUUUUACCAAUCAUCC
Non-coding RNA from Tetranychus urticae (two-spotted spider mite), 899 nucleotides. Lineage: Eukaryota; Metazoa; Arthropoda; Arachnida; Trombidiformes; Tetranychidae. The record is from RefSeq and is a predicted model, not a curated record.